This 443-nucleotide ribosomal RNA is filed under the name uncultured bacterium. RNAcentral describes it as "partial 16S ribosomal RNA". It matches the Rfam family "Bacterial small subunit ribosomal RNA", at positions 338 to 795 of the family's 1533-position model. The record is from RNAcentral.
CCUACGGGAGGCAGCAGUGAGGAAUAUUGGUCAAUGGACGAGAGUCUGAACCAGCCAAGUAGCGUGAAGGAUGACUGCCCUAUGGGUUGUAAACUUCUUUUAAGGGGGAAGAGCAGAAGACGGUACCCCUUGAAUAAGCCACGGCUAACUACGUGCCAGCAGCCGCGGUAAUACGGAAGGUCCGGGCGUUAUCCGGAUUUAUUGGGUUUAAAGGGAGCGUAGGCCGCAUGUCAAGCGUGCUGUGAAAUGUCCGGGCUCAACCCGGGCCUUGCAGCGCGAACUGGCGUGCUUGAGUCCGCGGAAAGCAGGCGGAAUUCGUCGUGUAGCGGUGAAAUGCUUAGAUAUGACGAAGAACCCCGAUUGCGAAGGCAGCUUGCUGCAGCGGAACUGACGCUGAUGCUCGAAAGCGCGGGUAUCGAACAGGAUUAGAUACCCCUGUAGUC